RNAcentral lists this ribosomal RNA (315 nucleotides) under uncultured bacterium. RNAcentral's name for it is "bacterial SSU rRNA". It matches the Rfam family "Bacterial small subunit ribosomal RNA", at positions 28 to 334 of the family's 1533-position model. The record is from RNAcentral.
GAUGAACGCUGGCGGCGCGCCUAACACAUGCAAGUCGAACGGAGUUAUUUGAAAGCUUGCUUUUGGAUAACUGAGUGGCGGACGGGUGAGUAACGCGUGAGUAACCUGCCUUAAAGAGGGGGAUAGCGUCUGGAAACGGACGCUAAUACCGCAUAACAUAUUGUUUUCGCAUGGAGAUGAUAUCAAAGGAGCAAUCCGCUUUAAGAUGGACUCGCGUCCAAUUAGCUAGUUGGUGAGGUAACGGCCCACCAAGGCAAUGAUGGGUAGCCGGCCUGAGAGGGUGAACGGCCACAAGGGGACUGAGACACGGCCCUU